This 720-nucleotide ribosomal RNA is filed under the name Triticum aestivum (bread wheat). RNAcentral describes it as "partial small subunit ribosomal RNA". The record is from RNAcentral. Lineage: Eukaryota; Viridiplantae; Streptophyta; Magnoliopsida; Poales; Poaceae.
AUGAUUCGUCGCUUCUGGUGGGGUGCGGAAAAAGUUAAACGGAAAACACACUGGGUCAGCUGGGACUCUAUGGUGAGACCUAAAGGAAAAGGUGGAAUGGGGUUUAAAGACCUUCGAGCGUUCAAUCAAGCCCUCUUAGCACGUCAAGCCUGGCGUCUUAUUCAGUUUCCGGAAAGUCUCUAUGCAGAGGUUCUACGAGCCAAGUACUAUCCGGAUGGGUCCAUUCUUGACACUGUCUUUACCGGGAACGGAUUGUCAACAUGGAACGCCAUUGAGCAUGGCCUGCAAUUAGUGAAGCAGGGAUAUGUUUGGCGGGUGGGAAAUGGUACUGACAUACGUAUUUGGCGUGACCCGUGGUUGCCGAGAGGGCCUCCCUUUAAGCCAAUCACGCCGAAACGACGGUGCCGACUGAAAUGGGUGGCUGACCUUCUGAAUUUUGAUGGGUCCUGGAACAUUUCACUCCUCAGACAAUACUUCUAUCCGGCUGAUGUUAUAGAGAUUCUGAAAAUAAAAACCUCUCGCCGAGGGGAGGCUGAUUCUAUUGCUUGGCAACCAGACAAGCAUGGUCGUUUCUCUGUGAAGUCAGCGUACAAUUUUGCAAGGGAUGAUAUCUUGGCUCGAAAGGGGACUGCUGCGUGUAGUACUCGCCCUGAUGGCUCAAGGCACUACCGGAAUAAUCUUAUAUGCCUACGGCCUUAUCUAUGCCGACGGCUGCCAUAG